This is a long non-coding RNA of Myotis lucifugus (little brown bat), 1082 nucleotides long. RefSeq lists it as uncharacterized. Lineage: Eukaryota; Metazoa; Chordata; Mammalia; Chiroptera; Vespertilionidae. The transcript is spliced from 2 exons. The record is from RefSeq and is a predicted model, not a curated record.
GUGUCCCUAUUGUAUUGGCUGCUUGCCCCUUUAUAUACGGCUGUACUUCCUCAAUAAACUUAGAUCUGUGUCUCUGAACCUGGUCUCUGGAGUCAUGCAUGCAAGCUCCCUAGCGCGGUGGGCUCCGUCGUCCUCACCCCUGAGGGACCCCCUGUUCCAUCUGGCGCCUUGAACAGGGACCCUGGCACAGCAUGCUCCAGGACGGAAGGUGAGAAAAAUCCCUGCCCGUAACAUCAAACCCUGCACCACCAGCGAUGAGUGGUAGACCACCAUCACCAUCACCCCCGGUAGAGGAAAUGGAGGACCUGACGAUAGAGGACAACUAGCCCCGGCGGCGGAGGCAACCAAGGCACUGACGGGCCCACAACAUUACCUGGGGAAACAUCAAGAAUCUACAGGACCAAGCCACACGCCUGGCACCAGAAGGCAAUCCGUCAGCAGAGACAUUAUUCCUAUUAAUAUGUGCCAUCUGUGUAACACUCAUUCCAGUGAGAAAUGCCUCCUGGGAGCGCAAAAAUUAGCAAAUCUCCUUAAAGGUCCAUUCAGCCAGGCAUUCCUAAACAGCACCUAUAAGCUCCAGCGAGAAAUCCUAAGAAUCAACAAUACCCAAGUGAAACCCAUUGAGUUUAUUUUCUUAAGUGAUGCCCACAGCCGUCUAACCUCCUGGUUAAAUCCUGCUAACAUAUUCAUAUGGGCCGUCCUAGAAGCAGGAGGCCUCCUUGCAUUCAGCUUGUUUCGCUGCUUUUACUUCAUGAUCCAAAGAAUAGAUGCACAGCAAGCUAUGAUUAUCCACAUCCAGCAGGUGCUUAUAAAAAAGGAAGGGGGAGAUGUGGGUAGAGCUCAAAAGAUUUAUCUCAGUGCUUCGGCCGAAGCAAUGCUGUGAGCACACUCCAGCAAACAGGCUUUCUUGGCACACCAGGAAGUGGCAACACCCGCCUGACAAAUCUCCAAGAGCCACCUACUCUUAGCCCCGACCCUCACGGCCAUUGGAUAACAUAGCAAGCAUGUCCCUAUUGUAUUGGCUGCUUGCCCCAUUAUAUACGGCUGUACUUCCUCAAUAAACUUAGAUCUGUGUCUCUGAA